UUAGUCGUAGAUCCACUGAUGAAUAAGGGGUGGGUAAGGACGGUGCCAGCCGCCGCGGUAAUACCGGCGCCUCAAGUGGUAGUCGAUUUUAUUGGGCCUAAAACGUCCGUAGCCUGUUUGGUACAUUCGUGGGUAAAUCAACCAGCUUAACUGAUUGAAUUCUGCGAGCACGGCCAGACUUGGGACCGGGAGAGGUGUGGGGUACGCUCAGGGUAGGGGUAAAAUCCUGUCAUCCUGAGCGGACCUCCUGUUGCGAAGGCGCCACACUAGAACGGAUCCGACGGUCAGGGACGAAGCCUAGGGGCACGAACCGGAUUAGAUACCCGGGUAGUCCUAGGUGUAAACGCUGUGGACUUGGUGUUGGGGAUUCUCCGAGGAUCCUCAGUGCCGAAGCGAAGGUGAUAAGUCCACUGCCUGGGGAGUACGGUCGCAAGGCUGAAACUUAAAGGAAUUGGCGGGGGAGCACCGCAACCUGGGGAUUGUGCGGUUUAAUUGGAUUCAACGCCGGAAAUC
Molecule: ribosomal RNA, 513 nt
Filed under: uncultured Candidatus Poseidoniales archaeon
Lineage: Archaea; Methanobacteriati; Thermoplasmatota; Candidatus Poseidoniia; Candidatus Poseidoniales
Description: bacterial SSU rRNA
Rfam family: Archaeal small subunit ribosomal RNA
Source: RNAcentral